AGUGAACGCUGGCGGUAGGCCUAACACAUGCAAGUCGAACGGCAGCACAGUAAGAGCUUGCUCCUACGGGUGGCGAGUGGCGGACGGGUGAGGAAUACAUCGGAAUCUACUUUUUCGUGGGGGAUAACGUAGGGAAACUUACGCUAAUACCGCAUACGACCUACGGGUGAAAGCAGGGGAUCUUCGGACCUUGCGCGAUUGAAUGAGCCGAUGUCGGAUUAGCUAGUUGGCGGGGUAAAGGCCCACCAAGGCGACGAUCCGUAGCUGGUCUGAGAGGAUGAUCGGCCACACUGGAACUGAGACACGGUCCAGACUCCUACGGGAGGCAGCAGUGGGGAAUAUUGGGCAAUGGGCGCAAGCCUGAUCCAGCCAUACCGCGUGGGUGAAGAAGGCCUUCGGGUUGUAAAGCCCUUUUGUUGGGAAAGAAAAGCAGCGGGUUUAUACCCCGCUGUUCUGACGGUACCCAAAGAAUAAGCACCGGCUAACUUCGUG
This 492-nucleotide ribosomal RNA is filed under the name uncultured bacterium. RNAcentral describes it as "partial 16S ribosomal RNA". It matches the Rfam family "Bacterial small subunit ribosomal RNA", at positions 29 to 507 of the family's 1533-position model. The record is from RNAcentral.